CCGUUAAUUGAUUAUGACGUAUUUGUAAUGAUUGAGAUUUUAACUCGAAUUGAGUGGCGAACGGGUGAGUAACACGUGGGUAACCUGCCCAGAAGUAGGGGAUAACACCUGGAAACAGAUGCUAAUACCGUAUAACAGAGAAAACCGCAUGGUUUUCUUUUAAAAGAUGGCUCUGCUAUCACUUUUGGAUGGACCCGCGGCGUAUUAGCUAGUUGGUGAGGUAAAGGCUCACCAAGGCAGUGAUACGUAGCCGACCUGAGAGGGUAAUCGGCCACAUUGGGACUGAGACACGGCCCAGACUCCUACGGGAGGCAGCAGUAGGGAAUCUUCCACAAUGGACGCAAGUCUGAUGGAGCAACGCCGCGUGAGUGAAGAAGGGUUUCGGCUCGUAAAGCUCUGUUGUUAAAGAAGAACGUGGGUAAGAGUAACUGUUUACCCAGUGACGGUAUUUAACCAGAAAGCCACGGCUAACUACGUGCCAGCAGCCGCGGUAAUACGUAGGUGGCAAGCGUUAUCCGGAUUUAUUGGGCGUAAAGCGAGCGCAGGCGGUCUUUUAAGUCUAAUGUGAAAGCCUUCGGCUCAACCGAAGAAGUGCAUGGAAACUGGAGAC
This 610-nucleotide ribosomal RNA is filed under the name Pediococcus pentosaceus. RNAcentral describes it as "bacterial SSU rRNA". It matches the Rfam family "Bacterial small subunit ribosomal RNA", at positions 62 to 641 of the family's 1533-position model. Lineage: Bacteria; Bacillati; Bacillota; Bacilli; Lactobacillales; Lactobacillaceae. The record is from RNAcentral.